GGCCCGGCUCUUGCUGAAGACAGUUCACCGGUAGCCAACGGCGGUUGCCUCAUAAAACUCCCGACAAAGACGUCGC
RNAcentral lists this non-coding RNA (76 nucleotides) under unclassified sequences. Its description in RNAcentral is "narK RNA". It matches the Rfam family "narK RNA". The record is from RNAcentral.